GCGUGCCUACACAUGCAGUCGAACGCGAAAGAUGACUUCGGUUAUCGAGUAGAGUGGCGAACGGGUGAGUAACGCGUGGGUUACCUGCCUUGCAGCGGGGGAUAACUCGGGGAAACCCGGGCUAAUACCGCAUAAGCCUUACGAGGGAAAGCCUUCGGGUGCUGCAAGAGGGGCCCGCGUCCGAUUAGCUAGUUGGUGAGGUAAAGGCUCACCAAGGCGUCGAUCGGUAGCCGGUCUGAGAGGACGGACGGCCACACUGGGACUGAGACACGGUCCAGACUNAUACGGGAGGCAGCAGUGGGGAAUUUUGCGCAAUGGGGGAAACCCUGACGCAGCAACGCCGCGUGGAGGAAGAAGGCUUUCGAGUCGUAAACUCCUGUUUACAGGGACGAAAAAAAUGACGGUACCUGUGGAGGAAGCCCCGGCUAACUCCGUGCCAGCAGCCGCGGUAAUACG
RNAcentral lists this ribosomal RNA (456 nucleotides) under uncultured Acidobacteriota bacterium. RNAcentral describes it as "bacterial SSU rRNA". It matches the Rfam family "Bacterial small subunit ribosomal RNA", at positions 42 to 527 of the family's 1533-position model. The record is from RNAcentral. Lineage: Bacteria; Pseudomonadati; Acidobacteriota.